UACGUAGGGGGCAAGCGUUAUCCGGAUUUACUGGGUGUAAAGGGAGCGUAGACGGCCAGACAAGUCUGAAGUGAAAAUCCAGCGCUUAACGCUGGAAGUGCUUUGGAAACUGCCGGGCUGGGGUGCAGGAGGGGCAGGCGGAAUUCCUAGUGUAGCGGUGAAAUGCGUAGAUAUUAGGAGGAACACCAGUGGCGAAGGCGGCCUGCUGGACUGCAACUGACGUUGAGGCUCGAAGGCGUGGGGAGCAAACAGG
This 253-nucleotide ribosomal RNA is filed under the name uncultured bacterium. RNAcentral's name for it is "partial 16S ribosomal RNA". It matches the Rfam family "Bacterial small subunit ribosomal RNA", at positions 524 to 776 of the family's 1533-position model. The record is from RNAcentral.